RNAcentral lists this ribosomal RNA (471 nucleotides) under Pseudomonas sp. RNAcentral describes it as "bacterial SSU rRNA". It matches the Rfam family "Bacterial small subunit ribosomal RNA", at positions 18 to 486 of the family's 1533-position model. The record is from RNAcentral. Lineage: Bacteria; Pseudomonadati; Pseudomonadota; Gammaproteobacteria; Pseudomonadales; Pseudomonadaceae.
CCUGGCUCAGAUUGAACGCUGGCGGCAGGCCUAACACAUGCAAGUCGAGCGGUAGAGAGAAGCUUGCUUCUCUUGAGAGCGGCGGACGGGUGAGUAAUGCCUAGGAAUCUGCCUGGUAGUGGGGGAUAACGUUCGGAAACGGACGCUAAUACCGCAUACGUCCUACGGGAGAAAGCAGGGGACCUUCGGGCCUUGCGCUAUCAGAUGAGCCUAGGUCGGAUUAGCUAGUUGGUGAGGUAAUGGCUCACCAAGGCGACGAUCCGUAACUGGUCUGAGAGGAUGAUCAGUCACACUGGAACUGAGACACGGUCCAGACUCCUACGGGAGGCAGCAGUGGGGAAUAUUGGACAAUGGGCGAAAGCCUGAUCCAGCCAUGCCGCGUGUGUGAAGAAGGUCUUCGGAUUGUAAAGCACUUUAAGUUGGGAGGAAGGGUUGUAGAUUAAUACUCUGCAAAUUGACGUACCGACAGAA